Molecule: long non-coding RNA, 174 nt
Organism: Octopus sinensis (East Asian common octopus)
Lineage: Eukaryota; Metazoa; Mollusca; Cephalopoda; Octopoda; Octopodidae
Exons: 3
Source: RefSeq, a predicted model, not a curated record
UUUAAUAUAAUGGCACCUGGAAUGAAAAAGAAUAAUUACAUUGUAAAUUGUACACUGCUGAAUACAUAUUAAGAUGCUUAGAUUGGAAAUUUUGAAAAUUAAAGGUGUCUAAUAACUUCCUGCAUGUCUGUGUAAACACACACACACACACACACACACACACACACACACACA